RNAcentral lists this ribosomal RNA (509 nucleotides) under Tuxedo sp. WCW-2003h. RNAcentral describes it as "partial 16S ribosomal RNA". It matches the Rfam family "Bacterial large subunit ribosomal RNA", at positions 1829 to 2600 of the family's 2925-position model. Lineage: Eukaryota; Metazoa; Arthropoda; Insecta; Hemiptera; Miridae. The record is from RNAcentral.
GGUCUUUUGUUUAUAUAAAAGAUCUGGCCUGCCCGAUGUUGAUUGAAUGGCUGCAGUAUUUUGACUGUACAAAGGUAGCAUAAUCAUUUGUCUCUUAAUUAGAGUCUGGAAUGAAUGGUUGGAUGAAAGAUUUUCUUUCUUUAUUUUAUAAAAAAAAAUUAAUUUUUAAAUCAAAAAGUUUAAAUGAUUGUAAAGGACGAGAAGACCCUAUAGAACUUUAUUCCUCAUUAAGUAAUUAUUUACUUGUAAAUAAUUUUUCUUUAAUUUAAUGAGGAAUUUUGUUGGGGUGACAAAAAAAAUUUUAUAACUUUUUUUAUUUUUAACAUUUGUUUAUGUAUUAUUGAUCCUUUAUUAUGGAAAAUAAGAUUAAGUUACCUUAGGGAUAACAGCGUUAUUAUUUUAGAGAGUUCAUAUCGAUAAAAUAGUUUGCGACCUCGAUGUUGGAUUAAAAUUAGUUUCAGGAGCAGAAGAUUGAUUGACUGGGUCUGUUCGACCCUUAAAUUUUUACA